This 231-nucleotide long non-coding RNA is filed under the name Nicotiana benthamiana. RNAcentral describes it as "long non-coding RNA (NBEN_LNC033234)". The record is from RNAcentral. Lineage: Eukaryota; Viridiplantae; Streptophyta; Magnoliopsida; Solanales; Solanaceae.
GUCUCGUCUAUCAAUAUUAUAUCAUCAGCAAAGAGCAUACACCAAGGCACAUCCCCUUGGAUAUGACGGGUUAGAGCAUCUAUCACUAAGGCGAACAAUUAAAUUUAUAGUAAGAAGAAAAUCUGUCGACUUUAAAAAUCGUGAGGGUUCAAGUCCCUCUAUCCCCAAAAAGACUAUUUCACUGCCCAACUAUUUAUCCGACCCCCUUUUCUUAGCGGUUCCAAAUUCCUU